RNAcentral lists this ribosomal RNA (140 nucleotides) under uncultured eukaryote. RNAcentral describes it as "partial 18S ribosomal RNA". It matches the Rfam family "Eukaryotic small subunit ribosomal RNA", at positions 1299 to 1458 of the family's 1831-position model. The record is from RNAcentral.
UGGUGGAGUGAUCUGUCUGGUUAAUUCUGUUAACGAACGAGACCUUGACAUGCUAACUAGCGCCGCACUGCUGCUGUUGUUUGGCAGACUUCUUAGCGGAACUUUGUGUGCCCAGCAUGAGGACGUGUAAGGCAAUAGCA